This 481-nucleotide long non-coding RNA is filed under the name Ananas comosus (pineapple). Its description in RNAcentral is "long non-coding RNA (ACOM_LNC016078)". Lineage: Eukaryota; Viridiplantae; Streptophyta; Magnoliopsida; Poales; Bromeliaceae. The record is from RNAcentral.
GGGAUCAAGGGAUGGAAUAAUCUCUUAAUCCCAAAGUUAUUUCCAAAUAUCUAAUUUGGGGGUGGAAUCUCACCCUACCCCAACCAAAUACUAUUUUCUAUUUAUAAUAAUCCACUAUCAUUCUUAUCCCAUCUUCUCCAACCAAAUACUAUUUUAUCUAUAUCUGGACUAAAUCCAAUUCUCAACUAAACACAAAAUUAUUCUAACCCCACCUUAACCCUGAACUUAACCCUAUUCAUGUAAUAAUAAGUUUUUACUUAAUUCCGAACCAAAUGGUAUAUAAACAGAGCAGGUUUAACUGGUACUAAACGGAUAUGAUUUCGGUUAUAAACAUAAGGAACAAAAAUUCGAUAAAUUCGAGUUCGAUUAUGGCAUUUGUCUGUAAUCAAUCCGAACCUGAAUUUGAAACUAAACACGUAUAAAACCUAUUAUAUAUAUAAUAAACUUUCUUAGACAUUUACUUUAAUAAUUAAUAUAUAUU